RNAcentral lists this ribosomal RNA (707 nucleotides) under uncultured bacterium. RNAcentral describes it as "bacterial SSU rRNA". It matches the Rfam family "Bacterial small subunit ribosomal RNA", at positions 513 to 1219 of the family's 1533-position model. The record is from RNAcentral.
AGCCGCGGUAAUACAGAGGGUGCGAGCGUUAAUCGGAUUUACUGGGCGUAAAGCGUGCGUAGGCGGCUUUUUAAGUCGGAUGUGAAAUCCCUGAGCUUAACUUAGGAAUUGCAUUCGAUACUGGGAAGCUAGAGUAUGGGAGAGGAUGGUAGAAUUCCAGGUGUAGCGGUGAAAUGCGUAGAGAUCUGGAGGAAUACCGAUGGCGAAGGCAGCCAUCUGGCCUAAUACUGACGCUGAGGUACGAAAGCAUGGGGAGCAAACAGGAUUAGAUACCCUGGUAGUCCAUGCCGUAAACGAUGUCUACUAGCCGUUGGGGCCUUUGAGGCUUUAGUGGCGCAGCUAACGCGAUAAGUAGACCGCCUGGGGAGUACGGUCGCAAGACUAAAACUCAAAUGAAUUGACGGGGGCCCGCACAAGCGGUGGAGCAUGUGGUUUAAUUCGAUGCAACGCGAAGAACCUUACCUGGUCUCGACAUAGUAAGAACUUUCCAGAGAUGGAUUGGUGCCUUCGGGAACUUACAUACAGGUGCUGCAUGGCUGUCGUCAGCUCGUGUCGUGAGAUGUUGGGUUAAGUCCCGCAACGAGCGCAACCCUUUUCCUUAUUUGCCAGCGGGUUAAGCCGGGAACUUUAAGGAUACUGCCAGUGACAAACUGGAGGAAGGCGGGGACGACGUCAAGUCAUCAUGGCCCUUACGACCAGGGCUACAC